GCCCCGUCACCGCGGCAACCGCGCUCCUCCCGCCGCCAUGGCGGAGCCGCAGGCCGGGCCGGUUUCUUCGUCGCCAGCGGUGUUGGGACCGCCAAAGCCCCAUCCUAAAAGAGUGCCGGAGAUACCCAUGCUAGAGAGGAGGAACUGGUUCAUCUAUCUGCUCUACGUUCGCAGAGAGUACGACGAGUGCAAGGUAGGAGUGGCUUCUGAGACUUUGCACUGGAAAGGAUUUUUACUGCUGUUAGCAAACGGCAGUUUUCAUGCCAGGACAGAGCCAGCUGUGCUGUGAUGGGUGUCCCAGGUCACCUGGUGAGCCAACAAAGGGCCCUAGGGUCCUCUCGUUUCCCAUUAAUCUGUAUGUUGUCAAAAUAACAUCUGUAGUUUGAACCAAGGCUGUCUAAUCA
Molecule: long non-coding RNA, 404 nt
Filed under: Chrysolophus pictus (golden pheasant)
Lineage: Eukaryota; Metazoa; Chordata; Aves; Galliformes; Phasianidae
Description: lncRNA (ENSCPIG00010011444.1)
Source: RNAcentral